This 320-nucleotide unclassified non-coding RNA is filed under the name plant metagenome. RNAcentral describes it as "partial contains 5.8S ribosomal RNA, internal transcribed spacer 2, and large subunit ribosomal RNA". The stretch from base 1 to 105 matches the Rfam family "5.8S ribosomal RNA", at positions 50 to 154 of the family's 154-position model. The record is from RNAcentral.
GAAAUGCGAUAAGUAAUGUGAAUUGCUGAAUUCAGUGAAUCAUCGAAUCUUUGAACGCACAUUGCGCCCGCCAGUAUUCUGGCGGGCAUGCCUGUUCGAGCGUCAUUACAACCCUCAGGCCCCCGGGCCUGGCGUUGGGGAUCGGCGGAAGCCCCCUGCGGGCACAACGCCGUCCCCCAAAUACAGUGGCGGUCCCGCCGCAGCUUCCAUUGCGUAGUAGCUAACACCUCGCAACUGGAGAGCGGCGCGGCCACGCCGUAAAACACCCAACUUCUGAAUGUUGACCUCGAAUCAGGUAGGAAUACCCGCUGAACUUAAGC